This 254-nucleotide ribosomal RNA is filed under the name uncultured prokaryote. RNAcentral's name for it is "partial 16S ribosomal RNA". It matches the Rfam family "Bacterial small subunit ribosomal RNA", at positions 524 to 777 of the family's 1533-position model. The record is from RNAcentral.
UACGUAGGUGGCAAGCGUUGUCCGGAAUUAUUGGGCGUAAAGCGCGCGCAGGCGGUCUUUUAAGUCUGAUGUGAAAGCCCACGGCUCAACCGUGGAAGGUCAUUGGAAACUGGAAGACUUGAGUGCAGAAGAGAAGAGCGGAAUUCCACGUGUAGCGGUGAAAUGCGUAGAGAUGUGGAGGAACACCAGUGGCGAAGGCGGCUCUUUGGUCUGUAACUGACGCUGAGGCGCGAAAGCGUGGGGAGCAAACAGGA